RNAcentral lists this ribosomal RNA (467 nucleotides) under uncultured bacterium. RNAcentral describes it as "partial 16S ribosomal RNA". It matches the Rfam family "Bacterial small subunit ribosomal RNA", at positions 28 to 507 of the family's 1533-position model. The record is from RNAcentral.
GACGAACGCUGGCGGCGUGCUUAACACAUGCAAGUCGAACGGAAAGGCCCUGCUUUUGUGGGGUGCUCGAGUGGCGAACGGGUGAGUAACACGUGAGUAACCUGCCCUUGACUUUGGGAUAACUUCAGGAAACUGGGGCUAAUACCGGAUAGGAGCUCCUGCUGCAUGGUGGGGGUUGGAAAGUUUCGGCGGUUGGGGAUGGACCCGCGGCUUAUCAGCUUGUUGGUGGGGUAGUGGCUUACCAAGGCUUUGACGGGUAGCCGGCCUGAGAGGGUGACCGGCCACAUUGGGACUGAGAUACGGCCCAGACUCCUACGGGAGGCAGCAGUGGGGAAUAUUGCACAAUGGGCGAAAGCCUGAUGCAGCAACGCCGCGUGCGGGAUGACGGCCUUCGGGUUGUAACCGCUUUCGCCUGUGACGAAGCGUGAGUGACGGUAAUGGGUAAAGAAGCACCGGCUAACUACGUG